Molecule: ribosomal RNA, 467 nt
Filed under: uncultured bacterium
Lineage: Bacteria
Description: partial 16S ribosomal RNA
Rfam family: Bacterial small subunit ribosomal RNA
Source: RNAcentral
GAUGAACGCUGGCGGCGUGCUUAACACAUGCAAGUCGAACGGAAAGGCCCAAGCUUGCUUGGGUACUCGAGUGGCGAACGGGUGAGUAACACGUGGGUGAUCUGCCCCGCACUUCGGGAUAAGCCUGGGAAACUGGGUCUAAUACCGGAUAGGACAGUGGUUUGGAUGCCAUUGUGGAAAGUUUUUUCGGUGUGGGAUGAGCUCGCGGCCUAUCAGCUUGUUAGUGGGGUAAUGGCCUACCAAGGCGUCGACGGGUAGCCGGCCUGAGAGGGUGUACGGCCACAUUGGGACUGAGAUACGGCCCAGACUCCUACGGGAGGCAGCAGUGGGGAAUAUUGCACAAUGGGCGCAAGCCUGAUGCAGCGACGCCGCGUGGGGGAUGACGGCCUUCGGGUUGUAAACUCCUUUCGCUAGGGACGAAGCGUUAUGUGACGGUACCUAGAGAAGAAGCACCGGCUAACUACGUG